This is a long non-coding RNA of Girardinichthys multiradiatus, 1533 nucleotides long. RefSeq lists it as uncharacterized. The transcript is spliced from 2 exons. Lineage: Eukaryota; Metazoa; Chordata; Actinopteri; Cyprinodontiformes; Goodeidae. The record is from RefSeq and is a predicted model, not a curated record.
UCUCCUCCUCCAGUGUGUAUUGAGUCAAUCUGCUCCCUUCUUUCUAUGCCAGUUUGUCUGUUUCUACCAGCUAGCAUUCCAGCAUUUUUCCCCAAGAAUUCUUAUCUCUAGUGACCUGUUUGACCUAUUUUUGUGCUUUCGACUCUGCCUCAGCUCAGUGUUUUGGAUACCUCUGCCAUUUCUGACUGAUUCCCUGUGUACUGACCUUGGAUUGCUAUUAAACCUGUUGACUUUGGAAUCUGUCUAAGUUGACAUCUGAGUCCAGCCUACCUAGUUCAUUGUUACAGUACGAACUGGCCCAAAGCAUGGACUCCGCACUGAAUUCCGACUACAAGGCAAGCGGCUUCAUGCUCAGCAGGAGCAACUAACUUAGUUUCAUCAGGAUCUUCAGGCCAUGGCGGACAGGCAGCAAGAGAUGAUGACUCCUUUGGAUGAGCAGCUGUGCUUAUUGUUUGAUCAAGUUAAAGAUUAAACACUGGCUACAGAUCCUCCUAAACCAACUAUGCCUCCUGUGCACCCUUCUCCUGCUGCUGAUUCUGCCAAUGCUGCUACUCCUACCCUCUCCAAACCAGACCAUUUCUGGAGACUCUGGAGACUGCCCUGGGUCAAAAACGCUCUGCAGUCACCACUUUGAGUUGCAGGGAUCAGUUUAUCCCACAGAGAGGUCCAAGGUAGCUUUCGUGAUUUGUCAUCUGACUGGUAGAGCCGAAGCCUGCGACACGGCAGAGUGGAGCAGAGGAUCAGGUAGAUAAGGUUGUCUUCUUCAGAGAGAAACUAUGUUGUGGGAGACAGAACCUUUGGUCAUGAAGGUGGCAAUAGAGGAGUGGAGACACUGGCUGGGGGGGCAGAACAACCCCUUCUUGGUUUGAACUGAUUACAAAAAUCCUGAGUAUAUCAAGAAGGCAAAGAGACUCAAACCCCGACAAGCCAGGUGGGCCCUUUUCUUUUAUCGGCUCAAAGAAUCUUAAACCCGAUGCUCUGUCUCGUCUGUUUGAACCAGAUGGAAGUUCCGAGGUUCAGUCCUCUGUUUUGCCUCCUUGUUUUGUUGCUGCAGUGACUUGGGAGAUCGAGGAGAGAGUAAAAGAAGCGUUUGGAGAUGUUCAGGGUUCUGAGGCUUGCCCCUCUAAUCAUCCUCUUUGUUCCUGAAGCUAUGAGGUUACAGGUCAUUCAAUUGGCCCACCCCUCCCACAUCACCAACCAUUCUGGCAUCAACUGCACAGUUUUUGUGGUCCGACAGCAUUUCUGGUGGCCUGCUCUGGAAAGGGAUGUAAGAGAGUAUGUUUAAGCAUCAUGCACAACAUCAUGCAUGUGUAUAUUAAAUACUUUAUUGUGAUCAGAAUUUCUGUCUACAGGACUCCUUUCAUCACAGGGCAGUAUUGAGAUAUUUAAUCCUGCACUAGACCACUGAACGUAUUGUUUUUCACAAUUACAGUGUUAAAAAUAUAAACAGAGGGGCACAAUACAGCCUUUUGGUGGUCUGUAAUUAAGACUCUAAUAAUAAAUAAAACAACCUGGAUGUGCUGUACUUACAAG